GAAGAAAAACACUUUGGAGUUUUGACAAGAUGGGAAUUGAGAUGAGCCAAGAAUAAUAGCAUGACAAUGUAAUCAAGACAAUUAUUAUGUUAUCACAACAAAAAAAGACAAUACAACUCGAAAAUCUUCUAUGAGAACCUCAAAUAUAAUGUUCUAAUAAACCUCAGUGGCAUUACUAAGAUAGUGAAAUACCAAACAGCAAAAUAUAAAGAGAGAAAUAAACUUACAUCAGCAACCUCAUCCUGCAACUCCCCCUUCAUCUCCUUUAGAUUUUCUUCUUCAGCCAUUGUUUCAACUACCAUCAACCAAUAUUAAUAACAAAAACAACAGUAAAUCUUAUUCCCAAUUUUUUUUUUAUAAAAAAAAAAAAACCCGCUCCUAGAAAGUACUUUAAGAACAAAAUGCAGCUCCUCAAAAUAAAUCUUACUCCCAAUUGGUUACUAUCAGCACUUAACACAGAAACCCUAACUGAAGAAAUGUAUAGGAAGAAACAGUUGACAAAAUUUAUGGGUGAUAAAAGAGGAAUAACCUAGAAGACAAAAUCAGACGAAUGAAAAGCUACCUUCUUCAGUUUUGCUUCUGCCGAAAAAUGCAAUGCUAUGUCAAUUUUUUUGCUGUAGGUAUUUGAUGCUUAAACACAAACCUCUAUUGCCCUCAGGA
RNAcentral lists this long non-coding RNA (660 nucleotides) under Nicotiana benthamiana. RNAcentral describes it as "long non-coding RNA (NBEN_LNC025462)". The record is from RNAcentral. Lineage: Eukaryota; Viridiplantae; Streptophyta; Magnoliopsida; Solanales; Solanaceae.